GACGAACGCUGGCGGCGUGCUUAACACAUGCAAGUCGAACGGAAAGGCCCUGCUUUUGUGGGGUGCUCGAGUGGCGAACGGGUGAUUAACACGUGAUUAACCUGCCCUUGACUUUGGGAUAACUUCAGGAAACUGGGGCUAAUACCGGAUAGGAGCUCCUGCUGCAUGGUGGGGGUUGGAAAGUUUCGGCGGUUGGGGAUGGACUCGCGGCUUAUCAGCUUGUUGGUGGGGUAGUGGCUUACCAAGGCUUUGACGGGUAGCCGGCCUGAGAGGGUGACCGGCCACAUUGGGACUGAGAUACGGCCCAGACUCCUACGGGAGGCAGCAGUGGGGAAUAUUGCACAAUGGGCGGAAGCCUGAUGCAGCAACGCCGCGUGCGGGAUGACGGCCUUCGGGUUGUAAACCGCUUUCGCCUGUGACGAAGCGUGAGUGACGGUAAUGGGUAAAGAAGCACCGGCUAACUACGUG
RNAcentral lists this ribosomal RNA (468 nucleotides) under uncultured bacterium. RNAcentral's name for it is "partial 16S ribosomal RNA". It matches the Rfam family "Bacterial small subunit ribosomal RNA", at positions 28 to 507 of the family's 1533-position model. The record is from RNAcentral.